Molecule: ribosomal RNA, 424 nt
Filed under: uncultured prokaryote
Description: bacterial SSU rRNA
Rfam family: Bacterial small subunit ribosomal RNA
Source: RNAcentral
UAGGGAAUCUUAGACAAUGGGGGAAACCCUGAUCUAGCCAUGCCGCGUGUGUGAUGGCGGCCCUAGGGUUGUAAAGCACUUUCGCCAGGGAAGAUAAUGACGGUACCUGGUAAAGAAACCCCGGCUAACUCCGUGCCAGCAGCCGCGGUAAUACGGAGGGGGUUAGCGUUGUUCGGUAUUACUGGGCGUAAGGCGCGCGUAGCCGGACCAUUAAGUCAGGGGUGAAAUCCCGGGGCUCAUCCCCGGAACUGCCCUUGAUACUGGCGGUCUUGAGUUCGAGAGAGGUGAGUGGAAUUCCGAGUGUAGAGGUGAAAUUCGUAGAUAUUCGGAGGAACACCAGUGGCGAAGGCGGCUCACUGGCUCGAUACUGACGCUGAGGUGCGAAAGUGUGGGGAGCAAACAGGAUUAGAUACCCCCGUAGUCC